UUUGAUCUCAAGGCCGGUGU
RNAcentral lists this non-coding RNA (20 nucleotides) under Arabidopsis thaliana (thale cress). The record is from RNAcentral. Lineage: Eukaryota; Viridiplantae; Streptophyta; Magnoliopsida; Brassicales; Brassicaceae.